This is an RNA transcript of Ziziphus jujuba (common jujube), 12791 nucleotides long. RefSeq lists it as uncharacterized. The transcript has 16 exons. The record is from RefSeq and is a predicted model, not a curated record. NCBI's taxonomy places the organism in Eukaryota, Viridiplantae, Streptophyta, Magnoliopsida, Rosales, Rhamnaceae.
UUGAAUGAUGCAGGGACUUCACCAUCAACAGCAGCAACUAGCGGCGCUUCUCUCUGUUGCGCUUCCCAAGGACGAUUCCGGUAACUCCUCCGCCGGCGGUUCUAACUCCGACGACGAUGACUCCAGUAGACUCGCCGCCAUUAAUUCGCUUCACCGUGCCAUCAUUUACCCGUCGAACUCGCUCCUCGUCACUCACUCAGCCACUUUUCUUGCCCAGGGAUUCUCUCAGCUUCUCUCUGACAAGUCGUAUUCAGUGCGACAGGCUUCAGCUGUAGCAUACGGUGCUCUUUGUGCUGUGGUUUGCUCCAUCCCUUUAACAUCGAAUGGCAGACAGAACCAUGUUUUACUUGGAAGUUUGGUUGAUCGCUACAUUGGUUGGGCAUUGCCAUUGCUUAGCAAUGUUCUUGCUGGUGAUGGAACAACAGAAUUUGCAUUGGACAGCUUGAGGGAGUUUCUUAAUGUCGGAGACGCUGGUGGAAUUGAGAGAUAUGCUUUGCCAAUUCUCAAAGCAUGUCAAGUACUUCUUGAGGAUGAGAGGACCUCCUUGAAUUUAUUACACCCACUUCUAGGUGUUCUAACUCUGAUUUCAUUGAAGUUUUCAAGAACCUUCCAACCUCAUUUUCUUGAUAUUGUUGAUCUGCUUCUAGGGUGGGCAUUGGUACCAGACCUUGCUGAAUCCGAUAGACAAAUCAUUAUGGAUAGUUUUUUGCAAUUUCAGAAACAUUGGGUGGGUAAUUUGCAGUUUUCACUAGGUUUGCUGUCGAAGUUCUUAGGUGAUAUGGAUGCUUUGCUUCAGGAUGGAGGUCCUGGAACUCCACAGCAAUUUCGAAGGUUGCUUGCACUGCUUUCUUGUUUUUCAUCAGUUUUGCAGUCCACUGCUUCUGGGUUGCUGGAAAUGAAUUUACUUGAACAAAUAAGUGAACCGCUCAGCAGAAUGGUUCCUCGAUUGUUGGGAUGCUUAUCUACUGUUGGGCAGAAAUUUGGAUGGGCGGAAUGGAUUGGGGAUUCAUGGAAGUGUUUGACUCUCUUGGCAGAAAUAUUAUGCGAAAGAUUUUCCAACUUUUAUCCGCAUACAGUUGAUAUCUUAUUUCAAAGCUUGGAAACAGAGUGCACCAGCCAACCAAGAGGAGCUGGAAAGAUUACAUCCUUUCAAGUUCAUGGGGUUUUAAAAACUAAUCUCCAGUUACUAUCUCUGCAAAAAUUUGGCCUCCUUCCAUCAGUUGUGCUAAAAAUAUUGCAAUUUGAUGCACCAGCAUCUCUUCUGCGUCUUCAUCCAAAUCACUUAGUAACAGGAAGUUCUGCUGCCACAUAUGUUUUCUUACUUCAGCAUGGAAAUAAUGAAGUUGUCCAACAAGCAGUGACUUCACUGGCAGAGGAGCUGGAAUUUCUGAAGGGAAUGCUAGGAAAGAAUUUGGGUCAUGGAGAUGGGUUGAGUAGUAUUGGGUGUACAAAAUGCUAUUCAAAACCUGAACUGUAUGCACUCAUCAAAUUUGAUCUGGAGGUUUUGUUAACAUGUGUUUUAUUGGGUGGGGAUGGUAGUUUAAUUGGCCAACCAGAUGUUGCAACAUUAUGUCUUGAGAGGUCAGAAAAGUUGUUGUCAUUUAUUAUUGAGAAGCUUAAUCCUUUUGAUUUCCCUAUUCAGGCAUGUACAGAGUUGCAAGUCAAUGUUCUCAAGACAUUGGACAGGCUAACCACAGUUGAAUUCUGGAGCAAGUGCUCUAUAAGUAAUCAAAACGGUGGGCAUUCAGCUGUCAUUGUUGAGCAUCUGAAGAAGUAUAAUAUUCUUUUUGUUAAAGGUCUCCUUGUUUCUUCUCCCCUUGCAGUUAAAGUAGUAGUUCUCAGUUGGAUUCAAAGAUUCUGUGAGAAUGUUAUUUCUAUCUCUAAGAAAUCUAGCAGAGAAACUUGUUUCUAUGAAGCUUAUGGCUGUGUUGGGAUUAUUAAGAAUAUGGUUUCCUCAGUUUUGGAUGCUGCAUCUGACAGGGAGCCAAAAGUGAGGGCACAUGUUGCAUUAGUUAUGGAACUGCUACUACAGGCAAGGCUUGUACAUCCCAUGUACUUUUAUCCCAUAGCUAUAGUGGUCCUAGAAAAACUUGGUGAUCCAGAUAGUGAGAUAAAAUAUUCAUUUGUGAAGCUGCUCGCUCAAGUUUUGCCUACUACAAUGUAUGCAUCUGGUCUGUGUGAUUAUGGGACAUCUACUCUGUUCAGGACUUUUGAUCUUAGGUUGGGAGAUAAUUCUGAUUUGCAUUGGAAGCAAGUUUUUGCCUUGAAGCAGCUGAAUCAGAAACUUCAUGCACAACAACUUGUUUCCUUACUAAGUUUCAUUUCACAAAGAUGGAAGGUGCCUCUUUCUUCUUGGAUCCAACGGUUAAUUCAUUGCUGUUCAAAAGAAUCAGUCUUAAGUCAACUUGAAGAAACAGGAAGUUUUGUUGCCAAUGUUGUAUGGUUGGACAGCAAAGUGGAUGAAGAUAUUCUUGAAAAAAAUUGCUCAGUUAAUAAUCUGGCUGGUGCCUGGUGGGCUGUACAUGAAGCAGCUAGGUAUUGUAUUUCCACACGCCUUCGAACUAACCUGGGUGGGCCUACCCAGACUUUUGCGGCAUUAGAGAGAAUGCUUUUGGACGUUGCACACUUACUGCAGCUUGAUAGCGAGCAAAGUGAUAGCAACUUAAGUAUGAUAGGGGCUUCUGGUGCUCACUUGUUACCAAUGAGGUUAUUGUUGGAUUUUGUUGAAGCCCUAAAGAAAAAUGUUUAUAACGCUUAUGAGGGUUCUUCUGUUUUACCAUCAGCUACUCGCCCUAGUUCCUUGUUCUUUCGAGCUAACAAGAAAGUUUGUGAGGAGUGGUUUUCUCGGAUAUGUGAGCCAAUGAUGAAUGCUGGAUUGGCUCUACAAUGCCAUGAUGCUACAAUUCAAUACUGUACUCUGCGUUUGCAGGAGCUUAGGAACAUCGUGGCCUCUGCUUUAAAGGAAAAGUCUAGGGCCCAGUUAGCUGAUAACCUCCACAAUAUCAGGGGUAGAUUUUCUGCUGAUAUCUUGAGGGUUUUGCGUCACAUGGCAUUGGCUUUGUGCAAGAGUCAUGACUCUGAGGCUUUGGUUGGGUUACAAAAAUGGGUUUCAAUGACAUUUUCUGCCUUGUUUGGGGAGGAAUCUCUAAGUAAUAGUGGAACAUUGGGACCCUUUUCAUGGAUUACUGGGCUUGUAUAUCAGGCAGAAGGUCGGUAUGAAAAAGCUGCUGCUCACUUUAUUCACUUGCUACAGAGUGAGGAGUCACUUGGUUCUAUGGGAUCUGAUGGUGUACAGUUUGCCAUUUCACGUAUCAUUGAGAGUUAUAGUGCUGUGUGUGACUGGAAAUCUCUAGAAUCCUGGCUGGUAGACUUGCAAACACUUCGUGCUAAGCAUGCUGGGAAGGGUUAUUCUGGUGCUCUAACUACAACAGGCAAUGAAAUUAAUGCAAUCCAUGCCUUGGCACGUUAUGAUGAGGGUGAUUUUCAGGCAGCAUGGGCAUGCCUUGAUUUGACACCGAAAAGUAGCAGUGAGCUCACACUUGAUCCCAAACUGGCCUUGCAAAGGAGUGAGCAAAUGCUUUUACAGGCAAUGCUUCUUGAAAAUGCGGGCAUGGAAGAAAAGGUGCUACCUGAAUUACAUAAGGCCAGGUCAAUGCUGGAAGAAAUACUGUCUGUUUUGCCGCUUGAUGGGUUAGAGGAGGCAGCAGCAUACGCCACCCAGUUGCAUUGCAUUUUUGCUUUUGAGGAAGGUUAUAAGCUCAAAGGUGGCCAAACUGAAUCAGAACAAAUGCCAUCAAUUUUAAGUUCAUAUGUCCAAUCCAUGCAAUCCCCAAUAAGUAGAAUUUAUCAAGACUGUAACCCCUGGUUAAAACUUCUCCGGGUCUAUCAAGCCAUUUUCCCAACUUCUUCAGUUACUAUAAAGUUCUGUAUGAAUUUGUUGAAUUUAGCUCGUAAAAAAAGAAACCUUACAUUAGCACAUCGUUUGAACAGCUAUCUGAAGGAUCACAUGUCAAGUUGCUUAGAAGAAAAACCCCAUGAUUUCCUUGUUUCGUAUUUACAGUUUGAGGGCAUCAUGCUAAUGCAUGCUGAAAACAAAUUUGAAGAUGCUUUUACAAACCUUUGGUCGUUUGUGCGUCCUUGCAUGGUUUCUUCGGCAUCUGUAGUUUCUGAGGCUGAUGAAAGUUGUUUGAAGGCAAAAGCAUGCUUGAAACUCUCACGUUGGUUAAGACAGAAUUAUUCAGAAUUAAGGCUGGAUGUAAUCGUUCUCAAGAUGUGUUCAGACUUUGAUAGGGCUUAUUCUAAUUUUGGCAGAAGUAGACCCUCCUCCAGUGAUGAGAACCUAAGCUUUGGACCAUCUGUUGGUUCAGUUAUUGAGGAAAUUGUGGGUUCAGCUACAAAAUUGUCUACCCAGCUUUGUCCCACCAUGGGAAAAUCAUGGAUUUCUUAUGCUUUUUGGUGUUUUAAUCAAGCUAGAGACUCUCUCUUUAAUCCUCAUGAAAAUGUCCUUGAGGCAUGUUCAUUUUCUCCUAUUCUAGUCCCUGAAAUUCUACCUGGGAGAUUCAAGUUAACUGAAGAUGAGAUUGCAAGAGCGGAAUCUAUGAUUUCACAGAUCUUCCAGAACAAGGAUGGUGGUAACAGUUUUGUCGAUGAACGGGGAGAGCGGAAUUUGAGCAUUGACAAGCCUGUGAAGGCCUUGGUACAGCAAGUAGUGAAUAUUAUUGAAACUUCAGCUGGGGCACCUGGUACAGAAAACCUGGGUGAUGAAUGCUUAUCUGCUACUGUAGCUUCUCGGUUAAAGAUUUCUUUCCUAAGUACAAGUUUCAGCCUAAAUGAAUCUGAGAUAUUGGCUGUAGUUGAUGAAUUACUAAGUCUUUGGUUGCAUUUGAGGAGGAGAAGGGUGUCCCUCUUUGGGCAUGCAGCUCAUGGCUUUGUACAAUAUCUUUCAUAUUCAUAUACAAAGAUUUGUGAUAAUCACUUGGCUGGCUUUGAUUGUGAGUCAUUGAAACAGAAAACUGGCAGCUAUACCCUAAGGGCUACAUUGUAUGUCCUGCAUAUUCUUCUCAACUAUGGGGCAGAGUUAAAAGAGACACUGGAACCUGAUCUUUCGACUGUUCCUCUAUCACCAUGGCAGGAAGUGACACCACAAUUAUUUGCUCGGCUAACUUCUCAUCCUGAGCAAACCGUACGGAAUCAGUUGGAGGGCUUACUGAUGAUGCUGGCUAAGCAAUCUCCUUCACCCGUUGUUUAUCCUACCCUAGUUGAUGUGAAUGCUAAUGAAGAGAAGCCUGCAGAGGAGCUCCAACAUAUACUAAGUUGUCUGAGUAAACUUUAUCCAAGAUUGGUUCAGGAUGUUCAGCUUAUGAUAAAUGAGCUGGGAAAUGUUACUGUUCUUUGGGAGGAGCUAUGGCUCAGCACGCUUCAAGAUCUUCACACAGAUGUGAUGAGGCGGAUAAAUGUGCUGAAAGAGGAAGCUGCACGAAUUGCGGACAAUGCCACUCUUAGCUUGAGUGAGAAGAACAAGAUAAAUGCUGCUAAAUACUCUGCUAUGAUGGCUCCUAUUGUUGUGGCGUUGGAACGGCGUAUGGCUUCGACAUCUCGAAAACCUGAAACUCCUCAUGAAUUAUGGUUCCACGAGGAAUAUAGAGAACAAUUGAAAUCAGCCAUCUUAGCCUUCAAGACACCUCCUACAUCUGCUGCAUCACUUGGUGAUGUGUGGCGGCCAUUUGAUAAUAUUGCUCAAUCCUUAGCAUCUUACCAAAGGAAGUCAUCAAUAUCUUUGAGGGAAGUCGCACCACGACUAGCUAUGUUAUCAUCUUCUGACGUACCAAUGCCUGGUCUUGAGAAACAUGAAACAAUAUCUGAAUCUGACAGAAGCAUUGGUAGUCUCCAGGGAAUUGUCACAAUUGCUUCUUUCUUUGAGCAAGUGGCUAUCUUAUCAACCAAGACAAAACCCAAGAAACUUGUUAUACUGGGUUCUGAUGGUCAAAAGUACACAUAUCUCUUAAAAGGCAGGGAAGAUCUACGUCUUGAUGCCAGAAUCAUGCAGCUGUUGCAAGCUAUAAACGGUUUCUUGCAUUCAUCUCGUGAAACUCGUAAUCAUUCUCUUGGGAUCCGCUAUUAUUCUGUGACUCCAAUUAGUGGUCGUGCUGGUCUCAUACAGUGGGUUGACAAUGUGAUAAGUAUAUACAGUGUCUUCAAGUCUUGGCAAAACCGUGUACAACUUGCACAGAUUGCAGCAUUGGGUGGUAGCAAUGCAAAAACUUCUGUUCCUCCACCUGUUCCACGGCCAAGUGAUAUGUUCUAUGGCAAAAUCAUACCAGCACUCAAAGAGAAAGGCAUAAGAAGAGUAAUUUCAAGAAGGGACUGGCCUCAUGAAGUCAAGCGUAAAGUUCUUCUGGAUCUUAUGAAAGAAACCCCUAGACAACUUCUUCAUCAAGAACUAUGGUGUGCUAGUGAAGGAUUCAAAGCCUUCAGCUCAAAACUGAAAAGGUAUUCUGGGAGUGUUGCAGCAAUGAGUAUGGUGGGCCACAUUCUCGGCUUGGGAGACAGACAUUUGGAUAAUAUUCUUGUAGAUUUCUGUAGUGGGGAUAUUGUACAUAUUGAUUACAAUGUUUGUUUUGACAAGGGACAAAGACUUAAAGUCCCAGAGAUUGUUCCCUUCCGUCUUACCCAGACCAUUGAAGCAGCACUAGGCUUGACUGGAGUAGAAGGUACCUUUAGGGCGAACUGUGAAGCAGUUAUUGGUGUUUUAAGGAAGAAUAAAGACAUACUGUUAAUGUUACUAGAAGUAUUUGUUUGGGAUCCACUAGUCGAAUGGACUCGGGGAGAUUUUCAUGAUGAUGCAGCAAUUGGUGGUGAAGAAAGAAAGGGUAUGGAGUUAGCUGUUAGCUUGAGUCUAUUUGCAUCUCGAGUGCAGGAAAUCCGUGUUCCCUUACAGGAACAUCAUGAUCUUUUAUUGUCUGCCCUACCAGCAAUUGAAUCUGCUCUUGAGAGGUUUGCUGAUGUUCUAAAUCAAUAUGAGCUUGCCUCUGCUGUCUUUUAUCAAGCUGACCAAGAGAGAUCUAGUCUGAUACUGCAUGAGACAUCUGCAAAGUCAAUUGUUGCUGAAGCAACUAGUAAUUCAGAGAAAGCUCGUGCUUCAUAUGAAAUUCAGUCCCGAGAAUUUGCACAAGCAAAGGCUAUGGUUGCUGAGAAAGCUCAAGAAGCAGCAACUUGGAUGGAGCAACAUGGAAGGAUAAUUGAUGCUUUACGAAGCAAUUUAUUUCCAGAAAUAAAUUCUCACAUAAAGUUGGGUGGUAUGCCAGAAGCCUUGUCUCUUACUUCUGCUGUUGUGGUGGCUGGAGUUCCACUGACUAUUGUUCCUGAGCCUACACAAGCACAAUGCCAUGAUAUAGAUAGGGAAGUUUCUGAGCUAGUUUCCGAAUUGGAUAUUGGAAUCUCAUCUGCGCUAACUGCACUUCAAGUAUAUUCUUUGGCUUUGCAAAGAAUUUUACCAUUAAAUUACCUUACCACCAGUGCAGUGCAUGGCUGGUCACAAGUUUUGCAACUAUCUGUCAGUGCCCUUUCCUCCGAUAUCCUUUCUCUUGCCAGGAGACAGGCUGCUGAACUUAUUGCUAAAAUACAUGGGGUUAAUCUUGAUUCUGUCAAACACAAUCAUGAUGAUCUUUGUAUUCAACUGGAGAAGUAUUCUCUGGAAAUAAAGAAGGUUGAAGAGGAAUGUACUGAGCUAGAGAACUCAAUUGGUUUUGAAACUGAAUCAAAAGCUAAGGAUCGUCUUCUGUCAUCAUUUACAAAAUACAUGCAAUUUGCUGGUUUUCUAAGGAAAGAAGAUACUAUUCCAUCCCUUCAACCAGGACAAACUAAAUAUGAUGGGAUAAAAAAUGCUAGAGCCCUAGAGGAUGUGGAUGAGAAGAGGGAUAAGGUAUUAUCUGUUUUGAAUGUAGCUGUUAGUUCCCUGUAUAGCAAGGUCAAGCAUCGGGUGCUUGACAUUUUCAGUAGUCCAACUCAAGGAGUAACUGUAGACAAUAGGUUGCAGUAUGAUUUUGAAACUAUUUUCUGUGAGUUUGAAGAACAAGUGGAAAAAUGUACACUGGUUGCUGGUUUUGUCAAUGAACUAUGGCAUUUGGUUGGUGUAACAAGUUCUGAUUUGGAUAAAGACCAUCCAGAAUAUUAUUAUGGAAAAAAUUGGGCUACCAUUUUUAAAACCAGUUUACUUUCCUGUAAGAGCUUGAUAGGGCAAAUGAUUGAAGCAGUUCUUCCACACAUAAUAAGAUCUGCUGUCUCAUUGAACUCAGGAGUCAUGGAUGCGUUCGGAUUAAUAUCACAAAUUCGGGGUUCUAUUGAUACAGCACUUGAACAAUUUGUGGAGGUUGAAAUGGAGAAAGCAUCCUUGGUCGAAUUGGAACAGAACUACUUUGUUAAGGUUGGUCUUAUCACCGAGCAGCAAUUGGCUCUUGAAGAAGCUGCUGUGAAGGGCAGGGAUCAUCUAUCUUGGGAGGAGGCAGAGGAGCUUGCCUCCCAAGAAGAAGCUUGUAGGGCACAGUUGGACCAACUUCAUCAAACUUGGAAUCAAAGGGAAAUCCGCACUUCUUCUCUCAUUAAGAGAGAAUCUGACAUAAAGAAUGCCUUGGUUUCUUCUGAACACCAUUUUCAAUCUGUCGUUGUUGAUGAAGAGGAAAGGGAGCUGCAUACAUUGGGAAGCAAGGCUUUAUUAGCAACAUUAGUUAAGCCAUUUACUGAACUGGAAUCAAUUGAUAGAGCAUUCUUUUUGGGAAGUUCUUUUGCUUGUAAUUCAAAUGAGAUUUCUAAAGUAGAAGAUAUGAUGAAUUCUGGGUAUCCAAUAUCUGAAUGUAUUUGGAAGUUUGGAAGCUUAUUAACUAGCCAUUCCUUUUUUGUUUGGAAAAUAGGUGUUAUUGAUUCUUUUCUUGAUUCUUGCAUACAUGAUGUAGCUUCAUCAGUGGAUAAAAACUUAGGGUUUGACCAGCUUUUUAAUGUGGUGAAGAGAAAGCUUGAGAGGCAACUUCAAGAGCAUAUUGGUCGGUACCUAAAAGAACGAAUUGUUCCUGCUUUUCUGGCUUGCUUAGAUAAAGAAAACGAACAUUUGAAGCAACUGACAGAAUCAACAAAGGAACUUGCUCUUGAUCAAGUUAAAAAAGAUGGUGGAGCUGUGUCAAGGGUUCAAUGUAUGCUCGAGGAAUACUGCAAUGCACAUGAAACUGCAAGAGCAGCAAGGUCAGCUGCUUCCGUUAUGAAAAGGCAGGUGAAUGAGCUUAGAGAGGCUCUGCACAAGACUGGCCUGGAGAUUGUUCAGAUGGAGUGGAUGCAUGAUGUCACCUUAACCCCAUCAUAUGAUGGCAGGGUCAUAUUUCACAAAUUUCUUCCUAGUGAUGAUAGUUUAUGUCCUGUUCUUUUAAACCUUAGCAGACCUAAAUUGCUAGAAGCUAUACAAUCUUCUGUGUCAAAGAUUGCCAGGUCUACAGAGUGCCUGCAAGCUUGUGACCGAACUUCUAUUACAGCAGAAGGGCAGCUUGAGAGAGCAAUGGGGUGGGCAUGCGGUGGCCCAAGUUCGAGUUCAACGACAAAUACUUCCAGUAAGUCUUCUGGAAUUCCACCUGAAUUCCAUGAACAUCUGAAAAGGAGAAGGAAACUGCUAUGGGAAACUAGAGAAAAAGCUUCAGAUGUUAUUAAAAUUUGCAUGUCAGUGUUGGAGUUUGAAGCAUCAAGAGAUGGUGUUUUUCGAAUUCCAGGAGAGAUCUAUCCUUUCAGAACAGGUGGUGAAGGAAGGACAUGGCAGCAAGCUUACUUGAACUUAUUAACAAGACUGGAUAUUACUUACCACUCCUUUACACGUACUGAACAGGAAUGGAAGCUUGCACAAAGCACCAUGGAGGGUGCUUCCAAUGGCUUAUAUUCUGCAACUAAUGAGCUUUGUAUUGCCUCUCUGAAAGCAAAGUCAGCUUCAGGUGAUUUACAAAGCACUGUUCUCACAAUGAGGGAUUGUGCGUAUGAAGCCAGUGUUGCAUUAUUGGCAUAUAGCGGUGUUUCAAAGAGCCAUACUGCUUUGACUUCUGAAUGUGGUUCCAUGCUUGAAGAGGUCCUUGCAAUAACUGAAGAUCUGCAUGAUGUUCAUGGUGUGGGAAAGGAGGCUGCUGCAUUACACCAUUCCCUUAUGGAAGAUCUUUCAAAGGCAAAUACAAUUCUUCUUCCCCUCGAAUCAUUGUUGUCUAAAGAUGUAGCUGCUAUGACUGAUGCUAUAGCAAGGGAAAAAGAAACCAAGAUGGAAAUUUCUCCCAUCCAUGGGCAAGCCAUAUACCAGUCUUAUAAUUUUAGAAUUAGGGAUGCUUGUUCGAAUAUGAAGCCUUUGGUACGCUCACUUACGAUGGCUGUGAAAGGACUCUAUUCUCUGUUGACCAGGCUUGCAAGAACUGCAAGCCUCCAUGCUGGCAAUCUUCAUAAAGCUCUUGAAGGACUAAAAGAAAGUCAGGAAGUAAAAUCACAAGGAAUUGAUGUGUCAAGGUCUGAUAUAGCUGUUGAUACUGCCGACUUUGAUGAUAAGGAGAGAGAGAAUCUAUCUGUAUCUAAUAGUGAAAGCACCAAAGAUUUUGCUGACAUUACUGAACUUCCUCUGGAAGAUAAUGGAUGGAUAUCUCCACCAGAUAGUGUCUGCAGUAGCAGCUCAGAAUCUGGCAUUACCUCACAGAAUGCAAGCUUUCCAGGUAGCUUCAAUGAUCCAUCUGAAGAAAGUGGGCAAGUUUCGAAGGAGCCCAGUAGCAUUGAAGCACCAGUUGAUCAAAACUCUGCUUCUAUAUCUGAAACUGGCUUUCAAGAAAUUUCACCUUCUGGGAAGUCUGAGUCUAAGAUCACAGAGGUUAAUAACAAUUGUGGGGUUUCUUUUGAGCCAGCAACUAACGAGCCUAAUGAAUAUCUGGGAGCUGUGGCCUCGCAAAGUGAUGAGUCGGUAACUGUUGCUCCAGAAACUUUGCAUCUUGUGAACAAGAACUCAGAGGAGGAGAGUGAGAGCAGAGGUGAAAUAUCUUCAUUAAAUAAGGUGAAAAUUCUACAUGGAGAUGAUCAUGAAGCUCAUGAUAUGCACGCUGGUGGUCGUGUUGGCAGGGGUAAAAAUCCUUAUGCAAUGUUGGUCUUAAGGCGAGUAGAGAUGAAACUAGAUGGUAGAGAUAUUGUUGACCACAGAGAAAUUAGUAUCUCAGAGCAGGUGGAAUAUCUACUAAAGCAGGCCACUAGCCUAGACAAUCUUUGCAACAUGUAUGAAGGUUGGACACCAUGGAUAUAAGCUGUGAACAGGCUACGGACUUCAGUCAUUUUGGUCAGAAACUCAGGCUUGUUUUCAGUAUGCCAUGCACAUUGGUCUUACAUUGUCCGAGAUGCAUGUUGAACAUAGUUACCACUUUUGUGAUAGGGCAUCAGACUUGAGGUUCACCCCUGUUAGCCUGCCUAGGGGAAGCCGCUUCAGCAUUUGAUUUUUUUUUCCUAAUACUCUUUUGGCUUUAUGAUCCCUUGUUCUUAUCACAAAAGGAGCUACGGCGGCAAUUGGUGAGAAACACGGUGCAAAUGUUUGAGCAGCUUUUAGAAGUGCUGCCCUCUAUCUGGCAUGUUUCCUACCUUAAAGGGCCAGCAGUUUUUCUGGCAGAAUAUAUUUCGAGCAUUUGCGAUGGGAAAACCCUAUGGACUGGAUUGAAUUUUCCCUCUCCUUUUCCCCUGCCAGAUGCAUUCAAGGAAACCAGACUCGUGGAUUGGCAAGUGAUCUCAUUUGCAGUAUUCGCAAUCCGCACAGCGAAUUCAAAGAACCCUUUGGAUCUGAAGCCGGAACCUGUUUCCAACACUAAGCGCGCUAAUUUGCAAUAUUCGCAAUUUGCACAUCAAAUUCAAAGCAGCCUCUUGGGUCUGAAGCUGGAACCUCUUUCCAACGCUAGUUGGGCAUACUUGACCAUACACUGUUUUGAGAUGCUUACAUCCAGAUGCGACAACUUUGGCAGAGUAUUGCCCUCGCAGAAAUGCUGGCGGAGGUUUUGAAAAUUCUCCUUUGAGACAAGCCUGCGGAUGGUUGAAAGACAGCAUGCAAAAUCAUGCUUUCUAGAGCAUUUGUGCCGGGAAACUUUCCUGGUUCUUGUGGGAGUCGAAAAGAAGGCUGUAACAACCGACCAAAAUGGCUAUUUGUUCCCAUCUAAAGCACAAAGAUAAAUAUAUAUAUAUAUAUAUAUAUAUAUAGGAAUCAUCUUAUAUAAACCCAACUAAUUUCGAUCCCAUCACAAAAGAAUCAAUACACCAUAAGGUCAUAGCAUUAAAUAUCUCAUAUCCCACGAAGAACUUGAAGAUAUUUUUGGUGAGAAAGAAUUUGAAGAUUUUUUUUUUUCUUUCUUUUUGGCUUUCACUUUUUUAUUUGUCAUUAUAUUUGUGAGAGUAGACUAGAUAUUUAUUUUCAGUCAUGUCAAAGCUGGUCGACAAGUGGAAGACUGAGAUGGCUAAGCUGCAGCAAAAGGGCCAAGCCCUUUUCUCCAGUGAGUCUGGUGAAUCUCUUCCUUCUAAUGCUGGGUGCAGUCAAGGGGCACGAACCAAAGAAGGGAACUCAAAUGGGUUGGCUUCAGCUUUUGGCCGAGUCAUGCGAGUCAACUAUUCUGAUGCUUCUGUUUUCAUGAUUGUUGAGUGCUUUAGUCCUUGAAGAACAUCAAACUUUUACGUAGCUACGGGAUAUCAACCUUUUUUUAGUGAAUUGUAAUAUGAACUUGUGUAGUUCUUUUAACAUGUUGAAUUAAAUCUUGUUCUGAAGUUGGAAA